GACGAACGCUGGCGGCGUGCCUAAUACAUGCAAGUCGAACGAGAGCAACCGGUGCUUGCACUGGUCAAUCUAGUGGCGAACGGGUGAGUAACACGUGGGUAACCUGCCCAUCAGAGGGGGAUAACAUCCGGAAACGGAUGCUAAAACCGCAUAGGUCUUCGAACCGCAUGGUUUGAAGAGGAAAAGAGGCGCAAGCUUCUGCUGAUGGAUGGACCCGCGGUGCAUUAGCUAGUUGGUGAGGUAACGGCUCACCAAGGCCGUGAUGCAUAGCCGACCUGAGAGGGUGAUCGGCCACAUUGGAACUGAGACACGGCCCAAACUCCUACGGGAGGCAGCAGUAGGGAAUCUUCCGCAAUGGACGCAAGUCUGACGGAGCAACGCCGCGUGAGUGAAGAAGGUUUUCGGAUCGUAAAACUCUGUUGUUAGAGAAGAACAAGUGCUAGAGUAACUGUUAGCGCCUUGACGGUAUCUAACCAGAAAGCCACGGCUAACUACGUG
This 498-nucleotide ribosomal RNA is filed under the name uncultured bacterium. Its description in RNAcentral is "partial 16S ribosomal RNA". It matches the Rfam family "Bacterial small subunit ribosomal RNA", at positions 28 to 507 of the family's 1533-position model. The record is from RNAcentral.